Long non-coding RNA from Gossypium arboreum, 226 nucleotides. RefSeq lists it as uncharacterized. The record is from RefSeq and is a predicted model, not a curated record. The transcript is spliced from 2 exons. NCBI's taxonomy places the organism in Eukaryota, Viridiplantae, Streptophyta, Magnoliopsida, Malvales, Malvaceae.
UCCGAAUUAUAUUCCGAUGUGUUCAACGGGUAAAGUUCUACUCAAAUGGAGGAAUACUCAAGAUGAAAGGGACGUAUUGUGUUGACAAGCCAGCUCGGAAAUCGGAAACGGUCGGAGGCACGCUCACACUAUCCGUAUACCAUCUUGGCAUAAUGGCUUGUAUAUUUUGAGUAUGGCAUGUAUAGCAUUAUAAUCAUUUUAUAUGUAUGGUCUUAUGAUAUGGUUA